AGCGAACGCUGGCGGUAGGCCUAACACAUGCAAGUCGAACGGCAGCACAGUAAGAGCUUGCUCUUACGGGUGGCGAGUGGCGGACGGGUGAGGAAUACAUCGGAAUCUACAUUUUCGUGGGGGAUAACGUAGGGAAACUUACGCUAAUACCGCAUACGACCUACGGGUGACAGCACGGGAUCUUCGGACCUUGCGCGGAUGUAUGAGCCGAUGUCGGAUUAGCUAGUUGGCGGGGUAAAGGCCAUCCAAGGCGACGAUCGGUAGCUGGUCUGAGAGGAUGAUCAGCCACAUGGGAACUGAGAAACGGUCCAGACUCCUACGGGAGGCAGCAGUGGAGAAUAUUGGGCGAUGGGGGCGAGCCUGAUCCAGCCAUACCGGGUAGGUGAAGAAGGCGUUCGGGUUGGAAAGUCCUUUUGGUGGUAGAAAAAAGCAGCAGUUUAAUACCCCGCUGUACUGACGGUACCCGGAGAAGAAGCACCGGCUAACUUCGUG
RNAcentral lists this ribosomal RNA (492 nucleotides) under uncultured bacterium. RNAcentral describes it as "partial 16S ribosomal RNA". It matches the Rfam family "Bacterial small subunit ribosomal RNA", at positions 29 to 507 of the family's 1533-position model. The record is from RNAcentral.